GCGGCGGACGGGUGAGUAACACGUGGGUAACCUGCCCAUAAGACUGGGAUAACUCCGGGAAACCGGGGCUAAUACCGGAUAACAUUUUGAACCGCAUGGUUCGAAAUUGAAAGGCGGCUUCGGCUGUCACUUAUGGAUGGACCCGCGUCGCAUUAGCUAGUUGGUGAGGUAACGGCUCACCAAGGCAACGAUGCGUAGCCGACCUGAGAGGGUGAUCGGCCACACUGGGACUGAGACACGGCCCAGACUCCUACGGGAGGCAGCAGUAGGGAAUCUUCCGCAAUGGACGAAAGUCUGACGGAGCAACGCCGCGUGAGUGAUGAAGGCUUUCGGGUCGUAAAACUCUGUUGUUAGGGAAGAACAAGUGCUAGUUGAAUAAGCUGGCACCUUGACGGUACCUAACCAGAAAGCCACGGCUAACUACGUGCCAGCAGCCGCGGUAAUACGUAGGUGGCAAGCGUUAUCCGGAAUUAUUGGGCGUAAAGCGCGCGCAGGUGGUUUCUUAAGUCUGAUGUGAAAGCCCACGGCUCAACCGUGGAGGGUCAUUGGAAACUGGGAGACUUGAGUGCAGAAGAGGAAAGUGGAAAUUCCAUGUGUAGCGGUGAAAUGCGUAGAGAUAUGGAGGAACACCAGUGGCGAAGGCGACUUUCUGGUCUGUAACUGACACUGAGGCGCGAAAGCGUGGG
RNAcentral lists this ribosomal RNA (686 nucleotides) under Bacillus cereus. RNAcentral describes it as "bacterial SSU rRNA". It matches the Rfam family "Bacterial small subunit ribosomal RNA", at positions 95 to 765 of the family's 1533-position model. The record is from RNAcentral. RNAcentral also lists the same sequence under 1 other name. Lineage: Bacteria; Bacillati; Bacillota; Bacilli; Caryophanales; Bacillaceae.